GAUACAGCUCAGUGGUAGAGGGCUUGUCUUGCAUACACAAGGCCCUGGGUUCAAUCCCCAGCACCA
Molecule: transfer RNA, 66 nt
Filed under: Marmota monax (woodchuck)
Lineage: Eukaryota; Metazoa; Chordata; Mammalia; Rodentia; Sciuridae
Description: tRNA.Ala
Source: RNAcentral